This is a long non-coding RNA of Oncorhynchus keta (chum salmon), 230 nucleotides long. RefSeq lists it as uncharacterized. Lineage: Eukaryota; Metazoa; Chordata; Actinopteri; Salmoniformes; Salmonidae. The record is from RefSeq and is a predicted model, not a curated record. The transcript is spliced from 3 exons.
CCUCGUGUUAGAGUGAGAGGUUUAGAAAGAAGAAACCCCCUCGUGUUAGAGUGAGAGGUUUAGAAAGAAGAAACCCCCUCGUGUUAGAGUGAGAGGGUUAGAAAGAAGAAACCCCCUAGUGUUAGAGUGAGAUGGUUAGAAAGAAGAAACCCCCUAGUGUUAGAGUGAGAGGGUUAGAAAGAAGAAACCCCCCUAGUGUUAGAGUGAGAGGGUUAGAAAGAAGAAACCCC